RNAcentral lists this unclassified non-coding RNA (494 nucleotides) under Hevea brasiliensis (rubber tree). Lineage: Eukaryota; Viridiplantae; Streptophyta; Magnoliopsida; Malpighiales; Euphorbiaceae. The record is from RNAcentral.
AUUUUUCUAAGUAUUUCCAAAUAUCAAAAAAUAUAAAAAAUAUUUUUUAAGAAAAUAUUUUCUGUAAAAUAAUCGGAGCCUAAAUAACAAAUUCUAAACCUAAAAAUAUAAAAUUUUUAAUUUUACAAUAAACAUAAUUUAUAAAUAUCCUAAGUUGAAUUAAAUUCCAAUAAUACAUCAUCUUUCCAUUGUUGAAGAAAACUUGUCACGAAUUUUGUAGUGUUGAAGAAUGGGUUAGGAGGACACACAGUUUUAUCUUCUUGGGCAACAACAAAAAGUUGAAACGAACAACUCCAUUCUCUCCAAAAACAUCAGAACAUAUAAAAUCAAUCACAAUUGCAAUUGUGAGACUUUGCAAUUCAAUGGGAAUAAAGGAACUUGAAAAAUCUUUCAAUUUCCAUUGAAAUCUCCAUGGCUUGAUCGUCUCCCUUCCCUUGGAUAGAUUUUUCAAGUUUUUCUUUCUCAUUCUUAUUAGCUUCUUUUUCUAGAACAAG